CAGUCGCCACGGUAAUACGUAGGGUGCAAGCGUUAAUCGGAAUUACUGGGCGUAAAGCGUGCGUAGGCGGUGAGUUAAGUCUGCUGUGAAACCCCCGGGCUCAACCUGGGAAUGGCAGUGGAUACUGGCUCGCUAGAGUGUGUCAGAGGAUGGUGGAAUUCCCGGUGUAGCGGUGAAAUGCGUAGAGAUCGGAAGGAACAUCUGUGGCGAAGGCGACUAUCUGGGCCAACACUGACACUGAGGCACGAAAGCGUGGGGAGCAAACAGGAUUAGAUACCCCCGUAGUCCCUGUCUCUUAUAC
This 301-nucleotide ribosomal RNA is filed under the name uncultured bacterium. RNAcentral describes it as "partial 16S ribosomal RNA". It matches the Rfam family "Bacterial small subunit ribosomal RNA", at positions 509 to 807 of the family's 1533-position model. The record is from RNAcentral.